GUGAGGUAAUGGCUCACCAAGGCAUCGACGGGUAGCUGGUCUGAGAGGACGAUCAGCCACACUGGGACUGAGACACGGCCCAGACUCCUACGGGAGGCAGCAGUAGGGAAUCUUGCACAAUGGGCGAAAGCCUGAUGCAGCGACGCCGCGUGGGGGAUGAAGGCCUUCGGGUUGUAAACCCCUUUCAGUAGGGACGAAAAUGACGGUACCUACAGAAGAAGGUCCGGCCAACUACGUGCCAGCAGCCGCGGUAACACGUAGGGACCAAGCGUUGUCCGGAAUUAUUGGGCGUAAAGAGCUCGUAGGUGGUUCCGUAAGUCGGAUGUGAAAACUCAAGGCUCAACCUCGAGACGCCAUCCGAUACUGCGGUGACUUGAGUUCGGUAGAGGAGUGUGGAAUUCCUGGUGUAGCGGUGAAAUGCGCAGAUAUCAGGAGGAACACCGACAGCGAAGGCAGCACUCUGGGCCGAUACUGACACUGAGGAGCGAAAGCAUGGGGAGCAAACAGGAUUAGAUACCCUGGUAGUCCAUGCCGUAAACGUUGGGCACUAGGUGUGGGGAUUUAUCAACGAUCUCCGCGCCGUCGCUAACGCAUUAAGUG
RNAcentral lists this ribosomal RNA (600 nucleotides) under uncultured Actinomycetes bacterium. RNAcentral describes it as "bacterial SSU rRNA". It matches the Rfam family "Bacterial small subunit ribosomal RNA", at positions 252 to 866 of the family's 1533-position model. Lineage: Bacteria; Bacillati; Actinomycetota; Actinomycetes. The record is from RNAcentral.